Molecule: ribosomal RNA, 253 nt
Filed under: uncultured bacterium
Lineage: Bacteria
Description: partial 16S ribosomal RNA
Rfam family: Bacterial small subunit ribosomal RNA
Source: RNAcentral
UACGUAGGGUGCAAGCGUCGUCCGGAAUUAUUGGGCGUAAAGAGCUCGUAGGCGGUUUGUCGCGUCGGCCGUGAAGACCUGGGGCUUAACUCUGGGCUUGCGGUCGAUACGGGCAGACUUGAGUUCGGUAGGGGAGACUGGAAUUCCUGGUGUAGCGGUGAAAUGCGCAGAUAUCAGGAGGAACACCGGUGGCGAAGGCGGGUCUCUGGGCCGAUACUGACGCUGAGGAGCGAAAGCGUGGGGAGCGAACAGG